RNAcentral lists this long non-coding RNA (252 nucleotides) under Brachypodium distachyon (stiff brome). RNAcentral's name for it is "long non-coding RNA (BDIS_LNC003979)". Lineage: Eukaryota; Viridiplantae; Streptophyta; Magnoliopsida; Poales; Poaceae. The record is from RNAcentral.
GUUUGAGUCUCAUGUUAAUGCGUACUGCUGUACUCCAAUUUACAAGAAGUUUUUUUUUCUUUUGAUCGAGCUAGCUACUGCUGAUCGCGCGCCUUGCGUUGUUGUUGCCGUGUCCACUUCGCGCUCGCGCUACACACCUGAACAUCCCACGUAGGUGACGCAUUUAGAAGCGGUCUCCACCUGACAGGCUGACAGUCAUCCGCCAACCACCACGCAGAUCUAUCGAUCCCGUACAAAUAAUAACGAAUCCCC